UGGGGAAUCAUGGUCAAUGGGCGAAAGCCUGAACCUGCGACGCCGCGUGAGUGAUGAAGGUCGUAAGAUCGUAAAACUCUUUUCAGGGAUCUUAAAGCACAACCGUCAACAACGGCUGUGUGUGACUCUCCCUGGAAGAAGCCCCAGCCAACUACGUGCCAGCAGCUGCGGUAAUACGUAGGGGGCGAGCGUUAUUCGGAAUUACUGGGUGGAAAGGGUAUGUAGGCGGCCCUUCAAGUCGCGUGUCAAAGUCCAGUGCUCAACGCUGGGUGUGCACGCGAUACUGACGGG
Molecule: ribosomal RNA, 291 nt
Filed under: uncultured prokaryote
Description: partial 16S ribosomal RNA
Rfam family: Bacterial small subunit ribosomal RNA
Source: RNAcentral